This 208-nucleotide ribosomal RNA is filed under the name uncultured bacterium. RNAcentral describes it as "partial 16S ribosomal RNA". It matches the Rfam family "Bacterial small subunit ribosomal RNA", at positions 568 to 774 of the family's 1533-position model. The record is from RNAcentral.
CUCGUAGGCGGUUUGGUAAGUCGGAUGUGAAAACUCAGGGCUCAACCCGGAGACGCCAUCCGAUACUGCUAUGACUAGAGUCCGGUAGAGGAGCGUGGAAUUCCCGGUGUAGCGGUGAAAUGCGCAGAUAUCGGGAGGAACACCAGCGGCGAAGGCGGCGCUCUGGGCCGGAACUGACGCUGAGGAGCGAAAGCGUGGGGAGCAAACA